GAUGAAGAACGUAGCGAAAUGCGAUAAGUAAUGUGAAUUGCAGAAUUCAGUGAAUCAUCGAAUCUUUGAACGCACAUUGCGCCCGCUAGUAUUCUGGCGGGCAUGCCUGUCCGAGCGUCAUUUCAACCCUCAAGCCCCCGGGCUUGGUGUUGGGGAUCGGCGAGCCUCCGCGCCCGCCGUCCCCUAAAUCUAGUGGCGGUCUCGCUGUAGCUUCCUCUGCGUAGUAGCACACCUCGCACUGGGAAACAGCGCGGCCACGCCGUUAAACCCCCAACUUCUGAACGUUUGACCUCGGAUCAGGUAGGAAUACCCGCUGAACUUACGCAUAUCAAUAAGCGGAGGA
RNAcentral lists this unclassified non-coding RNA (343 nucleotides) under soil metagenome. RNAcentral describes it as "partial contains 5.8S ribosomal RNA, internal transcribed spacer 2, and large subunit ribosomal RNA". The stretch from base 1 to 120 matches the Rfam family "5.8S ribosomal RNA", at positions 35 to 154 of the family's 154-position model. The record is from RNAcentral.